AAUAAAGAAUCUUCUUGUAAUGGGACCAGAUUUUUAAAACAACUUCUCAGGUUAUGAAUACACACUUCAGUCUAUUUUCCUCUUGUGAGGUCUUUUCUCCUUUGUGAGAUGGUCUGUUAGCUUGAGAUUCUUUCAUCACUCAUCCUCUGACUCAUCUCCCUAGGCAAGCAAGCUUGUUCAGGAAGUAAAAGAGGGACAGAAAAGCAUCUGAGGGAGAGGUGUGAAUGCCAAGAGCCAUCUCAAAGGAAACUGGCCACCCCUGCGAUCCCAGCAUAUGGUGAGAAGCUAUGAGGUCAGAUACCCACAGCUGUCUGAUAUGAGACAAACUCUCCACUCUCCAUGGGUUAAAGCUAUUAAAGGAGUAGAAACAGUAAUCCAUGGCACUCAGCAAUGGAUUAGUUGAUUACAACCUGUCACCUGGAAAUGAAGGGCCACACUGCGUGGCAGCUACAGUGGACCAUUAUGGAAGCACAGGAAUAAAAGGGAUGUAGAUGUGGGCUGCCUACA
Long non-coding RNA from Bos indicus x Bos taurus (hybrid cattle), 507 nucleotides. The record is from Ensembl. NCBI's taxonomy places the organism in Eukaryota, Metazoa, Chordata, Mammalia, Artiodactyla, Bovidae.